Molecule: long non-coding RNA, 312 nt
Filed under: Sorghum bicolor (sorghum)
Lineage: Eukaryota; Viridiplantae; Streptophyta; Magnoliopsida; Poales; Poaceae
Description: long non-coding RNA (SBIC_LNC016219)
Source: RNAcentral
UACCCCUUUGCUCUUGUGAUUUUCUCGUGGGAUUACAUAGGCGGCGGCUUCAUCCGCUCCCAAUUGGUGCUCCUACUCCCUUCGAGGUAUUCCUUGAUUGAUUGUAGGCUGUGUUAGUUGGUUCUUUGAGAGUGUGGUUGGGCGAAUCCUCGAUUCAGGUUGCCGAUUAAAGACGGUGGUUGGCUUCGAGUUUUAUUUGCCAGGUUGCACUAGUUAUCGCUGCUUGCAGCAAGUCAUCCGGCUGUUCUUCAGCUAGUUAUCGGUGUUCUUCCUACGUCGUGAAGAUCGGGAGAACGUGUCGCAUCAAGGGGG